RNA transcript from Elaeis guineensis (African oil palm), 1164 nucleotides. RefSeq lists it as uncharacterized. The record is from RefSeq and is a predicted model, not a curated record. Lineage: Eukaryota; Viridiplantae; Streptophyta; Magnoliopsida; Arecales; Arecaceae.
CACCAAAACCCAGCCACCGUCUAAGCUUCCUUACUCGGCCUCUCCAAGGCUCCGAGCCGCCCACCCGGUCGAGGCUCUUGAGGACGUAAAAAAUAGAGGAAAAAGCGGGGGAAAAAUACGAAAAAAAUCAACGGAAACGAAGGAAAGACGGAAAAAAAAUUAAAAGAUCCCAGCCACAAUGAUGGAGAUGUUGGAGCAAUGGAAAGCGAUUCUAAAGAUUCAGAAGUUUCGGAGGAUGGCUUCGUAUGCCGGCUUCUACUGCUUUGUCUCCCUCAUUACCUACGCCUACACUAGCAAUACGACGAGAGCUGGGAUGUCGAGGGCGGACCAAUUCUAUGCCUCUUACCCGGCUGGCACCGAAUUGCUCACUGAUACUGCAAAGCUUUACAAGGUAGCACUUGGUAAUUGUUUUGAGGAAGAGGAAUGGGGACCAAUCGAGUUCUCCAUCAUGGCAAAGCAUUUCGAGCGGCAAGGCAAAUCUCCAUAUGUGUACCAUGCGGUUUAGUUCCUAUUUUAUACCCAUUCUGACAACCAACUGGUAUUCAUACCGAGUUGGUUUGGUACAUCCGUUGGUACUAGCACUCAGUAUAUGGGGCAUACCAGGGUUUGAUGCACUUUUGGAACAUAGAGCAAUAUAUGGCACACCUUCUUUCUCAUGGACAACUUGAUGGCAGUGGCUGAUGGUGAGAUAGGCACCAGCCUGUACCAGGAUAUUCAAGUGCUCCGUCUACUAUGACUAAGAAAUAUUUUGGACCUCUAGGGCAUCUGUGAAGGAAGCAAAAUGCCAGUCAAUUAUACAGAAACAAAAUCAUAUAAUUAAGCAGCAUUGAGAGAUUAAAGGAUGGGAACUUUUUAUCGUGAAUCAAUUUUUAUAUUGCAAAGCAAUAUUUUGGAUUAUGCAUUGUCAAGUUUUGCAUACUUUUCAGACAUUUUAAUAGUAUGGGUGGAUGGAGAUGUAUGCAAGUUUUUGCUGGGCCUACUUUGAGUUUAUGCAUAUUAUCCAAAGUCUUUUGUUUACAUGUUAACAUUGUUUCUGAACAUUGUUGCUGAACUACAUUUGGAACUUUUGUCUAACUUGUAUUAUUGCCUAAACUAUUAAAAUUUUGAGCUGCUGGUAUUUUGCUUCCUGUCAAAAAUGGCCAGGAGGGUCUUGAUUUUGUUGCA